This 338-nucleotide long non-coding RNA is filed under the name Medicago truncatula (barrel medic). Its description in RNAcentral is "lncRNA gene10221". The record is from RNAcentral. Lineage: Eukaryota; Viridiplantae; Streptophyta; Magnoliopsida; Fabales; Fabaceae.
UUCAGGCAGUCAAUUGACAUUGCGAUUGUGGCACUGGACCAGAUUUUUUUGGUUCGAGUUGCAACAUUAUGAACAUUCAAUGAGUUUGUAGAUGCCCUCAAAUUAACAAUCCAUAAAGCAAAGAGGAAAAAAUACAUCUUCCAAACACAAAAGAAAGGGGGGAAAGAAAAAGAAAAUGGUAGGAAAGUAGGGGAUAUGGAGGUCAUCCUCUAAUGGUGGGUUCAACGUAGACUAUACUCUCUUGGCAAUCACACCAAUGAUGGAAGGAUAAAGGUUGCGCAAAAGACCGAGAAAGUGGUUUAUUCAUAGUUUUCAUUGCAUGUAACAAAGUUUUAACG